This 463-nucleotide ribosomal RNA is filed under the name uncultured bacterium. RNAcentral describes it as "partial 16S ribosomal RNA". It matches the Rfam family "Bacterial small subunit ribosomal RNA", at positions 28 to 507 of the family's 1533-position model. The record is from RNAcentral.
GACGAACGCUGGCGGCGUGCUUAACACAUGCAAGUCGAACGGUGAACCUCUUCGGAGGGGAUCAGUGGCGAACGGGUGAGUAACACGUGGGCAACCUGCCCCCGGCUCUGGGAUAACUCCAAGAAAUUGGGGCUAAUACCGGAUGUUCACCGCUUCCCGCAUGGGUGGUGGUGGAAAGGGUUUCCGGCUGGGGAUGGGCCCGCGGCCUAUCAGCUUGUUGGUGGGGUAGUGGCCUACCAAGGCGACGACGGGUAGCCGGCCUGAGAGGGUGACCGGCCACAAUGGGACUGAGACACGGCCCAGAAGCCUACGGGAGGCAGCGGUGGGGAAUAUUGCGCAAUGGGCGGAAGCCUGACGCAGCGACGCCGCGUGCGGGAUGACGGCCUUCGGGUUGUGAACCUCUUUCAGCAGGGACGAAGCGCAAGUGACGGUACCUGCAGAAGAAGCACCGGCCAACUACGUG